AGAGUUUGAUCCUGGCUCAGGAUUAACACUGACGGUAUGCCUAAUACAUGCAAGUCGAGCGCAAAGUUUACUUUGAGCGGCGAACGGGUGAGUAACAUGUACCUAACUUACCUUUAAGUUUGGAAUAACAGUCUGAAAAGAUUGCUAAUGCCGAAUAAUAUUGAUAAUUAUAAGAUUGUUAAUUAAAGGAGCUUCACAGCUUCGCUUUUAGAUAGGGGUGCACAGUAUUAGCUAGUUGGUAAGAUAACAGCUUACCAAGGCAACAAUGCUUAGCCGGCCUGAGAGGGUGAACGGCCACAAUGGGAUUGAGAUACGGCCCAUACUCCUACGGGAGGCAGCAGUAGGGAAUCUUUCACAAUGGACGAAAGUCUGAUGAAGCAAUACCGUGUGCGGGAUGACGGCCUUAGGGUUGUAAACCGCUGUGGAAAGGGAGGAAUGAUUUGGAGAGGAAAUGCUCUGAAUUUGACAGUACCUUUUUAGAAAGUCACUGCAAACUACGUGCCAGCAGCCGCGGUGAUACGUAGGUGGCAAGUGUUAUCCGGAUUUAUUGGGCGUAAAGCGUGUGCAGGUGGUUUUAUAAGUUUAAGAUUAAAUCUUGUGGCUUAACCAUAUAGUUGUCUUAAAAACUGUAAAACUAGAAUAUAGAAGAGGGUGAUGGAAUUCCAUGUGUAGCGGUUAAAUGCGUAGAUCUGUGGAGGAACACCAGUGGCGAAGGCGAUCACCUGGUCUAUUAUUGACACUAAGACACGAAAGCGUGGGGAGCAAAUAGGAUUAGAUACCCUAGUAGUCCACGCUGUAAACGAUGCAUACUAAUUGUUGGAAAAACCAGUAAUGCAGCUAACGCAUUAAGUAUGCCGCCUGAGUAGUACGAUCGCAAGAUUGAAACUUAAAGGAAUUGACGGGGACUCGCACAAGCGGUGGAGCAUGUGGUUUAAUUUGACACAACGCAAAGAACCUUACCUAGAUUUGUAUCCCAAGCAAUGCUAUAGAAAUAUAGUGGAGGCUAUCUUGGUGACCGGUGGUGCAUGGUUGUCGUCAGCUCGUGUCGUGAGAUGUAUGGUUAAGUCCAGUAACGAGCGCAACCCUUGUCUUUAGUUGCCAGCACAUAAUGGUGGGGACUCUAAAGAUACUGCAAGCGCAAGCUUGAGGAAGGUGGGGAUGACGUCAAAUCAUCAUGCCCCUUAUGUCUAGGGCUACACACGUGCUACAAUGGCUAAUACAAAGUGACGCAAAUUCGCAAGGAUAAGCAAAUCACAAAAAGUUAGUCUCAGUUCGGAUUAUAGGCUGCAAUUCGCCUAUAUGAAGUUGAAAUCGCUAGUAAUCGCCGAUCAGCAAUGCGGUGGUGAAUACGUUCUCGGGUCUUGUACACACCGCCCGUCAAACCACGGAAGUUGGUAAUACCCAAAGUCAUUUGUCUAACCAUUUAUGGAGGACGGUGCCUAAGGUAGGACUAGUAACUGGGGUUAAGUCGAAACAAGGUAUCCCUACGGGAAUGUGGGGAUGGAUCACCU
This 1511-nucleotide ribosomal RNA is filed under the name uncultured bacterium. Its description in RNAcentral is "partial 16S ribosomal RNA". It matches the Rfam family "Bacterial small subunit ribosomal RNA". The record is from RNAcentral.